GCGAGUGGCGGACGGGUGAGUAACACGUGAGUAACCUGCCUUUUGCUGGGGAAUAACUGUGGGAAACCAUGGCUAAUACCGCAUAUUGUGUCUACAAGGCAUCUUGUGGAUAUGAAAGGAGCAAUCCGGCAGAAGAUGGGCUCGCGUCCGAUUAGGUAGUUGGUGGGGUAAUGGCCUACCAAGCCUGCGAUCGGUAGCCGGACUGAAAGGUCGAACGGCCACAUUGGGACUGAAACACGGCCCAAACUCCUACGGGAGGCAGCAGUGGGGAAUUUUGGGCAAUGGGGGAAACCCUGACCCAGCGACGCCGCGUGAAGGACGAAGGCCUUCGGGUUGUAAACUUCUUUAGGGAGGGACGAAAAUGACGGUACCUCCAGAAUAAGCCACGGCUAACUACGUGCCAGCAGCCGCGGUAAUACGUAGGGUGGCAAGCGUUAUCCGGAUUUACUGGGUGUAAAGGGCGCGCAGGCGGCCCCUGCAAGUCAGAUGUGAAAACUCAAGGCUUAACCUUGGAAUGUCAUCUGAAA
Molecule: ribosomal RNA, 527 nt
Filed under: uncultured bacterium
Lineage: Bacteria
Description: bacterial SSU rRNA
Rfam family: Bacterial small subunit ribosomal RNA
Source: RNAcentral